Small nucleolar RNA from Clarias gariepinus (North African catfish), 90 nucleotides. The record is from RefSeq and is a predicted model, not a curated record. Lineage: Eukaryota; Metazoa; Chordata; Actinopteri; Siluriformes; Clariidae.
UGUCUCUGAUGAUGCUCAGCACUGGGCUCAGACACUUGGUGGUGAUGCACGUGCAGCUCCGCUCCUGACAUGGUGGAGUCUGAAGAGACU